UUCUUAUCAAGAGAGGCGGAGGGACUGGCCCAAUGAAGCCCGGCAACCUCUUUGCACUCGCGCAGUGCAAAAAAGGUGCCAACUCCUGCGGGAUGAGUUUAACUCGUUCCGAGAGAUAAGAA
This 122-nucleotide non-coding RNA is filed under the name Novibacillus thermophilus. RNAcentral describes it as "SAM-I sequence". It matches the Rfam family "SAM riboswitch aptamer (S box leader)". Rfam says of the family: The SAM riboswitch is found upstream of a number of genes which code for proteins involved in methionine or cysteine biosynthesis in Gram-positive bacteria. The SAM riboswitch acts at the level of transcription termination control. The record is from Rfam by way of RNAcentral. Lineage: Bacteria; Bacillati; Bacillota; Bacilli; Caryophanales; Thermoactinomycetaceae.